Molecule: ribosomal RNA, 468 nt
Filed under: uncultured bacterium
Lineage: Bacteria
Description: partial 16S ribosomal RNA
Rfam family: Bacterial small subunit ribosomal RNA
Source: RNAcentral
GACGAACGCUGGCGGCGUGCUUAACACAUGCAAGUCGAACGGAAAGGCCCUGCUUUUGUGGGGUGCUCGAGUGGCGAACGGGUGAGUAACACGUGAGUAACCUGCCCUUGACUUUGGGAUAACUUCAGGAAACUGGGGCUAAUACCGGAUAGGAGCUCCUGCUGCAUGGUGGGGGUUGGAAAGUUUCGGCGGUUGGGGAUGGACUCGCGGCUUAUCAGCUUGUUGGUGGGGUAGUGGCUUACCAAGGCUUUGACGGGUAGCCGGCCUGAGAGGGUGACCGGCCACAUUGGGACUGAGGUACGGCCCAGACGCCUACGGGAGGCAGCAGUGGGGAGUAUUGCACAGUGGGCGGAAGCCUGAUGCAGCAACGCCGCGUGCGGGAUGACGGCCUUCGGGUUGUAAACCGCUUUCGCCUGUGACGAGGCGUGAGUGACGGUAAUGGGUAAAGAAGCACCGGCUAACUACGUG